GAGUUUGAUCCUGGCUCAGAUUGAACGCUGGCGGCAGGCCUAACACAUGCAAGUCGAACGGUAACAGGAACAGCUUGCUGUUUCGCUGACGAGUGGCGGACGGGUGAGUAAUGUCUGGGAAACUGCCUGAUGGAGGGGAUAACUACUGGAACGGUAGCUAAUACCGCAUAACGUCGCAAGACCAAAGAGGGGGACCCUCGGGCCUCUUGCCAUCGGAUGUGCCCAGAUGGAUUAGCUUGUUGGUGGGUAACGGCUCACCAAGGCGAUGAUACGUAGCCGAACUGAGAGGUUGAUCGGCCACA
RNAcentral lists this ribosomal RNA (302 nucleotides) under uncultured bacterium. RNAcentral's name for it is "bacterial SSU rRNA". It matches the Rfam family "Bacterial small subunit ribosomal RNA", at positions 9 to 312 of the family's 1533-position model. The record is from RNAcentral.